GACUCUGCUCGCGCUUCGGGUGACCGGAAACGCUCCGCUCUUCCGGCAGUUCCAUCGACACGAUCACGGUUGUAACCCAAAUUCGAAUUUCAGAAGCGUGUUCAGUUAUUCGGGUAUUCCGAAUUCAAAGCCGUAGUGAUUUCAUUUAUUCGUGCUUCGAAAUUGCUUCAAGUUGUUUGAAGUAUUUGAAUUGGAAGUAUGAGACUUUUCAUCGGAGCAAAUACACCGAUGUCUGGACCAUAACCUUAUAUUUUAAUAUUAUUAACUGUAAAGUUUAAGCACAGCGUACACCGUUGUAAUAAUUAAUUAGAAUGUAGGAAAUUUACGAACACUUUAAGAGAUACGGUGCCAAGGAAAAGGGGAGAAACGAGGAGAAUCAAGGGUGACACGUGGUCUCCACAAUUGCCUGUUGGACGACCCAGACUUGGCAGAAAGGGGAGCAGACGGAGAGGGACGAUACAAGGACCGAGUGGAGAAGAGCGAGAUGGAAGAGAGCGGAAAUAAAGUGCGGUGGUCGCAGUUAUAGAAAAGACGGAAAAAGUCGAGUGCAGAGGGCGAUAGAGGAGAAAAAGAAGCGGAAGAUAUACGAGAUGAACUUCCAAUCAACUUGGUCUAGUUUUAUUACCGGGGAUAGUGGAUUUAUAGUUGAAUACGAAGGCGAGACUGAAAGAAGCGUUGCAAAGAGGGAAGAAAAACGAACGGCGAAGAGGGUCAACACGGAGUGUAAUCAAGGUUAUGAAAAACAGGGUGAAAAGAGUGUUUACGCGAGAGGAGGAGGUAGACGCGGAAAAACGGAUACACGGGGCUGCGGAAACACGUAGGGCGGGAAAAAAGGGGUGGUAAAGUGGAAGAGACAACAAGUAACCGGCGUAAAAAGUUGUAGACGAGAAGGGACGUAAAAAAGGGAUGUGCAGGUGGUGCGGAUAAGAGGAAGCCUAGUCCAUUGCGUGAAAAAAGGAAUACACUCGAGGACAAAUAGAAAGCAAUACAAACGGAAUGGUUAAUGCGACAAAACGAAGAUUCUGAAAUACGAAUAAAGGGUAAGAGAAUAUGCAGCGAAUAAAGGGGUGCAUAACACCUUCUCGGGGAAAAAGGAAAGGGAACGUCCGAGGUAAUAAAGGCGACCGAUAGAGAGAAAGAGAUUACGACGGAGGGGGUUGACGGUGAAAAAGAAAAUACGCAGAGUCCGUGCGAAGAAAAGGACGACGUGCAACCGGGGGUUGGAGAAAAGAGAAAUAAAAUGGCAAACUGAGCGAGGUCUUUGAGAGAAUAAGAGAGCAAAGUGGAGUUCAGUAGCUCGUUUCAGCCCGUAUCGUCGGAUUUAACAUAAAGGAAAACGGCCUUAACCGUGUCGAACCCUCUCCCUCUCAACCCCUUUACGCCGUUCUGAAUGUCGAAACAAUUUCGAACGGAAUCGCGAGCACAAACAACCAACGACGUCGACGACGAAAUCGAGAGGAACACUCGGGGCACGUUGUUUGCGGUCUUGAAAUUCAUUUUCAUUCGCGAGACUCUUUAACGGUGGCCAGGAAAGUGGCGCCGACUCGAAGAGGGUGGAUGAAAGUGGGUCGGAGAAUGCGGAUCGUUUAAUCGCGUAUUAUUAGAACAGAACGAGGCCUCGUGUUGCUACGAGGGCAAUUUCGAGCGAUAAAUUUUCAUGAUGCUGUUAAUUAAUUUGAUCCUUGAUUACGCGUGCUCGCGUCAGCUUGCGAUAUUGAUUUCCUCACGAUUAUGCGAUCGAUAAUCAACAGCGGUUCAACCAGACCCGACGAGAUGACGGAUUUCAUUUUAUCGAAUGGCUCUCGUCAUUUUAUAUUUAUUCGUGUCUCGGAAAAGUCAUUAGCAAGACUUUGCGAUGGAGUUCCCGCAACGGAAUUUUCUGAUUAUUCUACGAAAAUAAAAAGCUAUAAUACACUUUUUUAGUGGUAUUCGUAAUACAAAUAUUUGUAGAUAUUUAUACUUGUAGAUCGAUCGAAUAAUUUUCAGGGCAAUGAAGAAAAUUAUGUCAUGACCAAUUUAACUAAUCGAUAAGAUUGAUUUAAUACAGCAAUAAUUCAUAGAAUACACAGGAAACAGCAACAACCUGUUCUUUAAUAAACACGUUAUUACAUUCUAUUUGAUUACUCGGAAAGUGUUGUAUGAAACUGCAACAGCCAUUCGUAUCGAUGACGACCUAAUUGCUAUUCAUUUAACAAACACCGUUCUAUUUGUCCUCGAUCUACCCCGUAAUAAACGAUAAAGAAAGUUCGUUUACAAAGUUUCCCAGGAAGUCGCGCGACAAAGCCAGCCACUAUAGAGAUAAAAACGGCAGCAUAAUUCAGAAGAAUGACAGAGAUGUUCGCCGCUGUACAAGAAACGGAAGUUUGUCGGUUUUAGAUGGCGAAAGUAACUUUCACCACCGGCAAGAAUUCCGGAAAAUGCUACGAAUGUCUGAAUGAAGAGGCUCCAGCGUGUUUCUCAUAAUCAUAAACACAGCGAAAUACCGGUGGAAAACAAACUUCUCUCGUAGCAUCAAUCCCACGAUAACGCGUUUAAGCUCGGCUUAAUCCGGAUUGUUAUUUCUUUCGACGGUUAUUACGGAAGCGUGGCGAGUCGGAAGCUCGGCGUCGCUUUUUGGCGGUUCUUUUAACCCCUUGCCUUCUUACGAAUGCUCGAUGGAAAUUAAUACUGCUAAGAGGAUUUUAUAAUUGUCCACUUUAUAUUACACAACUGUGCUAUGAAUUUUAUAGGGACUUGAGAAAUUUUAUUUUUUUUUUGUUUAUUUAUAGAAAGUCAAAAUAAUUUUGUAUGCUGCUUGUAUCAAUAAUUUUGUAAUUUUAAUUUUGGAAUUUCUACUUCAUGUUAUAUUUUUUCUGCAGUAGUGUAAUAGCUUUUAAAGGGAUGUAAUGAAUUUUAUUUUCUUCUUAAUUAUUUACGUUCAAUUGCAGGCUACUUAAGAGCAAUAAAAAUUUUAUUGGUUUUACAAUCAAGACAUGAUUCACCAAUAAUAAUUUCACUAAAGCAUCUUCAAUUUACACCUACGUCCAACUUUUAUUGCCAAGGAAUAUUUAGCAAGUCAUAACAGAAAAGUUUAAAAUUUCUUUUUAGCCGAAUGUGUGACAUUCCUGACAGCGUCGUAUAAUUUCUCCUUCGAGCGCAAGCGGUGUUACGCGUCCUUUAAUGUAAAUAAAAAAACGCGAAUUUACAUGUACGCGAUGCAAAUGGAGAUAUACGUAUUGUAUAAGAAAGAAUAACCCGGGGCAAGGAGAUAGCACUUGCUCGAAAAAUACUCUCCAAGGGACAAUAAUCGCGAAAGACAGAAUUAUGGAAGCUAAGAUAAACGUAAGAAUGGUAGAUAGAGCGGCAGUCUUUGAAUUAUUGCAUACCACUUUUCAAAUUCCACGGGAAAAUUCAUUUUAUGCGGAAGAAUUGGAUAGAUUCUUUGCCGCUCUUCUUAUGUUGCUGAAAUAUUUAUAAAUUGCACCUUACUGGGUACCGUAGGAGAUGGACUUAAACAUGAACUGAUAUAUUUCAGUGAUAUAAGGUAUCGUAUAAAAAUGAUAUUAUGUGUACAUAUAAUAAUGUUCUACACUAUAUGUAUAAUAAUGUUGUAUACUAUAUAAUAAUGAUGUUAUUUACUAUGUAAUAAUGAUGUUAUGUACUAUGUAAUAAAUGCUUUUGUAAAUUUGCAGUUAUCUGUACUGAUAGACAAAGAUCGAUCACAUGUUAUGCACAGUAAAUUCAGAUUCAACAUCUCCGAGUAGUUGCGUAUCAUAUGUACAUAACAUUGUAACCAAAUUACCUAUCAGCCCUAACUUCACCUACCUUAAAUUAAUGUAACCUGAGUAACGUAACUGAUUUGAACGGUAAGAUACACCCCAGCUGAACCUAACAAGCUCGAAUUAUGAAAUGUACCUUCACUUAAGGCACACGAAGUAAUCAUCAAAAUUAAAUUAAUAUCAAGCUGUAAAAUGUUAAAAAUUGAAAAGGUGAAAGGGUACUCGAUCUGAUUUAUUACAAGUCUAAAAUAAUUUUGACCGUAUAAGAGGAUUUGUAAAUUAGAGAAUGUCCACGGUUCAGUGAACUAUGAAAAGGUUUUCGAGCAAGGAAUCGAGCAAUAUUUAAUGAAAUUUACGGCACAUAAAUUUCUGAAGCGUGGCUAUUCAACCCAUAAAAGCUGCUCAGUGCGGUUUAAUACAGAGAGAUGCAUCAAUCGGCUCAAGCAACUUUUCCAAGUGACAUAACUCUAUGACAGUGUAAUGCUGCCCUCAAAACGAACCGAUCAGACAAUCGAUUUCCCCUUUGACCUCUGGCGCGCUUUAUCUUUGAUUUCGAACGCGAACUCGAUUGGUUUCUAGGAAACGCUUUCUUUUCCAGUUUUAAAGCUCUCUCGGAGUUAAUUUAAAAUUGAAAGACACUUAGAGCUUCGGUAUCGAGAGAGGUAAUUCGGGAACGAAUGGUCUCCAAGAAUUUGAAAAUAGGAACGAUUCUACGAUCCUGAAAUUAUUUGCAAUG
This 4494-nucleotide long non-coding RNA is filed under the name Megachile rotundata (alfalfa leafcutting bee). RNAcentral describes it as "uncharacterized LOC105662673, transcript variant X2". The record is from RNAcentral. Lineage: Eukaryota; Metazoa; Arthropoda; Insecta; Hymenoptera; Megachilidae.